AGUGUAGGCGGCUUCGUAAGUCGGGUGUGAAAUCCCAGGGCUCAACCCUGGAACUGCAUCCGAAACUGCGUGGCUUGAGUCCCGGAGAGGAUGGCGGAAUUUCUGGUGUAGAGGUGAAAUUCGUAGAUACCAGAAGGAACACCAGUGGCGAAGGCGGCCAUCUGGACGGUGACUGACGCUGAGACUCGAAAGCGUGGGGAGCAAACAGGAUUAGAUACCCUGGUAGUC
RNAcentral lists this ribosomal RNA (228 nucleotides) under uncultured bacterium. RNAcentral's name for it is "partial 16S ribosomal RNA". It matches the Rfam family "Bacterial small subunit ribosomal RNA", at positions 568 to 795 of the family's 1533-position model. The record is from RNAcentral.